Molecule: long non-coding RNA, 543 nt
Filed under: Marmota monax (woodchuck)
Lineage: Eukaryota; Metazoa; Chordata; Mammalia; Rodentia; Sciuridae
Source: RNAcentral
UAAAACUCAAAAUCUACAAAACAGCCCCAAUGCCCUUGAGUCAGAUGUUACUGACUCAUCACAAAAAUGUUGGUUUUCUGCCAACAGGAACUGUGUUUCAUCCCUCUGUGUUCAUCGAUGGAAUAAAUAGGAAGAAGAAAGUUACAUAUAAGUCUUUGUGUGCUUUAAAAAUUCUAUGGUAUUAGUUCUCAGAUCUGAAUUUGGUACUAUUAUCCAAUGUCCCUGCUCCACCACUUCAGGGACUAUGGGAAAGAAGUCAAGUAAGACAAGAGAUCAGACAGAAAGAGAGUCGGCCAAAGGUGGGGUUUUCCAGAAGUAGAUCCUCAACCAAAGUUAGGUACAAGGUGCUUAUUAGGGAUCAUCACCUAUGGGGGUAAAAAAAAAGACAAGAAAAGCAAGCCUGGGCAGAGAAAGAAGUAUAAGUGCUAUGUAGCCCUGACAAAUCCUUCAUCACCAGGGGAAAGCUCUGGAGAAAAACUUGUCUGUCAGUGUCCUCACUUUGCACCAAAAUGUCCAGGUCAUAAAGCCCUCAUUGGAAAGGAG